This 635-nucleotide ribosomal RNA is filed under the name Stenotrophomonas sp. So2Pw_1268. RNAcentral describes it as "bacterial SSU rRNA". It matches the Rfam family "Bacterial small subunit ribosomal RNA", at positions 378 to 1004 of the family's 1533-position model. The record is from RNAcentral. Lineage: Bacteria; Pseudomonadati; Pseudomonadota; Gammaproteobacteria; Lysobacterales; Lysobacteraceae. RNAcentral also lists the same sequence under 1 other name.
GCAGCCUGAUCCAGCCAUACCGCGUGGGUGAAGAAGGCCUUCGGGUUGUAAAGCCCUUUUGUUGGGAAAGAAAAGCAGUCGGCUAAUACCCGGUUGUUCUGACGGUACCCAAAGAAUAAGCACCGGCUAACUUCGUGCCAGCAGCCGCGGUAAUACGAAGGGUGCAAGCGUUACUCGGAAUUACUGGGCGUAAAGCGUGCGUAGGUGGUUGUUUAAGUCUGUUGUGAAAGCCCUGGGCUCAACCUGGGAAUUGCAGUGGAUACUGGGCGACUAGAGUGUGGUAGAGGGUAGUGGAAUUCCCGGUGUAGCAGUGAAAUGCGUAGAGAUCGGGAGGAACAUCCAUGGCGAAGGCAGCUACCUGGACCAACACUGACACUGAGGCACGAAAGCGUGGGGAGCAAACAGGAUUAGAUACCCUGGUAGUCCACGCCCUAAACGAUGCGAACUGGAUGUUGGGUGCAAUUUGGCACGCAGUAUCGAAGCUAACGCGUUAAGUUCGCCGCCUGGGGAGUACGGUCGCAAGACUGAAACUCAAAGGAAUUGACGGGGGCCCGCACAAGCGGUGGAGUAUGUGGUUUAAUUCGAUGCAACGCGAAGAACCUUACCUGGUCUUGACAUGUCGAGAACUUUCCAGA